AGAUUGUAUAUCCUGUGCCUCAUGGUCUUCAUGUCUUCAUGCAUUCUAGCAUCAGGUAAUGCCAAAUAAUAAUAAUGACCAGUCUUCGCGAGCGAAUGCCAAAUAGAGGAGAAGCUCCCCUUGUGCUGCACUGGAGUCCAACAGCCUCUCAAAGCCAACCUUGAUCACAGGGAUCUGAGCUCUUCACCAGCACAGCCUUUGGCACAUGCUGAUCUGUGAGCAUACAGGUGGUCCUUUGACAGAGUGAUUUAACACCUCGC
Myiozetetes cayanensis is the source of this 260-nucleotide long non-coding RNA. RefSeq lists it as uncharacterized. Lineage: Eukaryota; Metazoa; Chordata; Aves; Passeriformes; Tyrannidae. The transcript is spliced from 3 exons. The record is from RefSeq and is a predicted model, not a curated record.